GGCUCCGUAGCUCAGUUGGAUAGAGCAGCCGCCUUCUAAGCGGCAGGUCGCAGGUUCGAGUCCUGCCGGAGUCGCCA
RNAcentral lists this transfer RNA (77 nucleotides) under Bradyrhizobium sp. RNAcentral describes it as "tRNA-Arg". It matches the Rfam family "tRNA". From Rfam's summary of the family: Transfer RNA (tRNA) molecules are approximately 80 nucleotides in length. Their secondary structure includes four short double-helical elements and three loops (D, anti-codon, and T loops). Further hydrogen bonds mediate the characteristic L-shaped molecular structure. tRNAs have two regions of fundamental functional importance: the anti-codon, which is responsible for specific mRNA codon recognition, and the 3' end, to which the tRNAs corresponding amino acid is attached (by aminoacyl-tRNA synthetases). tRNAs cope with the degeneracy of the genetic code in two manners: having more than one tRNA (with a specific anti-codon) for a particular amino acid; and 'wobble' base-pairing, i.e. permitting non-standard base-pairing at the 3rd anti-codon position. The record is from RNAcentral. Lineage: Bacteria; Pseudomonadati; Pseudomonadota; Alphaproteobacteria; Hyphomicrobiales; Nitrobacteraceae. RNAcentral also lists the same sequence under 3 other names.